This 485-nucleotide ribosomal RNA is filed under the name uncultured bacterium. RNAcentral's name for it is "partial 16S ribosomal RNA". It matches the Rfam family "Bacterial small subunit ribosomal RNA", at positions 28 to 523 of the family's 1533-position model. The record is from RNAcentral.
GAUGAACGCUGGCGGCGUGCUUAACACAUGCAAGUCGAACGAUGAACCGGGUGCUUGCACUCGGGGAUUAGUGGCGAACGGGUGAGUAACACGUGAGCAACCUGCCCCUGACUCUGGAAUAAGCGCUGGAAACGGCGUCUAAUACUGGAUAUGUCCCGUCACCGCAUGGUGUUCGGGUGGGAAGAUUUUUCGGUUGGGGAUGGGCUCGCGGCCUAUCAGCUUGUUGGUGAGGUAAUGGCUCACCAAGGCGUCGACGGGUAGCCGGCUUGAGAGGGUGACCGGCCACACUGGGACUGAGACACGGCCCAGACUCCUACGGGAGGCAGCAGUGGGGAAUAUUGCACAAUGGGCGGAAGCCUGAUGCAGCAACGCCGCGUGAGGGAUGACGGCCUUCGGGUUGUAAACCUCUUUUAGCAGGGAAGAAGCGAGAGUGACGGUACCUGCAGAAAAAGCACCGGCUAACUACGUGCCAGCAGCCGCUGUAA